RNAcentral lists this ribosomal RNA (583 nucleotides) under Siphula ceratites. RNAcentral describes it as "LSU rRNA". It matches the Rfam family "Eukaryotic large subunit ribosomal RNA", at positions 30 to 635 of the family's 3401-position model. The record is from RNAcentral. Lineage: Eukaryota; Fungi; Ascomycota; Lecanoromycetes; Pertusariales; Icmadophilaceae.
GAACUUAAGCAUAUCAAUAAGCGGAGGAAAAGAAACCAACAGGGAUUGCUUCAGUAACGGCGAGUGAAGCGGCAACAGUUCAAAUUUGAAAUCUGACUUCGGUCCGAGUUGUAAUUUGCAGAGGGUAUUUGGAAAGCGACAUGGGCUUAAGUCCCUUGGAAUAGGGCGUCAUAGAGGGUGAGAAUCCCGUAUGUGGCCUCACGUCAAUUUCAUGUCAAAUCCCUUCGACGAGUCGAGUUGUUUGGGAAUGCAGCUCAAAAUGGGUGGUAAAUUUCAUCUAAAGCUAAAUACUGGCCAGAGACCGAUAGCGCACAAGUAGAGUGAUCGAAAGAUGAAAAGCACUUUGAAAAGAGAGUUAAAUAGUACGUGAAAUUGUUGAAAGGGAAGCGCUUGCCAUUAGACCGAUGGACAGGUUGCAGUUGGAGGCAACUCUUGACGUAAAGCACCUGUUUUUCGGCCAGCAUCAGUUUCGGUGGUUCGACAAAGACCGCGAGAACGUGGCUCUUCGGAGUGUUAUAGCUCAUGGUGUAAUGGAACCUACUGGGACUGAGGACCGCGCUUCGGCUUAGGAUGCUGGCGUAAU